This is a long non-coding RNA of Sarcophilus harrisii (Tasmanian devil), 1687 nucleotides long. NCBI's taxonomy places the organism in Eukaryota, Metazoa, Chordata, Mammalia, Dasyuromorphia, Dasyuridae. The record is from Ensembl.
GGAGAAGGAAAGAGUAGACAGUUAUCAAAGGCAGUUUAGUUCCCGUUCCUUUUCCUCAACCUCCUCCCCCUUUUGAAAUAAAUUGCAUUCAGUGAGUGCUGUCCUUUUAAAGAAACAGCUACUUCCUAACAACUGAAAUUUGCUGCUUGACUACAAAGUUAGCAGGAUGUGUAAAUGUAGAUAAGAAAGAAGGAAAAAGGAAACGGCAUUCUAGAGGAACUGAUGUUUAGAGGGAGGAAAAUGAAGUAUAUACCAUUAGGACUUUAUAAAAGAGCUUAAGAAAAUUGAAUGAACAAUAAAGUUGUCUGAUGAUGAUGAUGGUGACAAGACAUUUCUAGCAACACAUCUGUGAUCCUCUUAUGCCUCAGAUGGCAAGUAAUCCAAUAUAUGUGAAACAUGUGCAAUUCUUCUGUACAUAUUUUUACAACUAUUAUGCUGCACAAGAAAAAUCAUAUCAAAAAGGAAAAAAUGAGAAAGAAAACAAAAUGCAAGCAAACUACAACAAAAAAGUAAAAUCACCUGAAUCACCUUGCUGUUGAAAAGAGCCACAUCCAUCAGAAUUGAUCAUUGUAUAAUCUUGCUGCUGUUGUGUACAAUGUUCCCCAGAUUCUUCAUUCAGCAUCAGUUCAUGUUUCCCUGUUCAUAGAAUUCAGGUUGGAGAUUGGGUUUUGAUCCAAUCCUGGAAGGAUGAGAAGUUGACUCCAUGCUGGACGGACCCUACCAGUGUUUGCCAAUUUCUGCGUUCUCAAUGCUCACACUGAAAACUGAACAAUUUACUGGAUAAGAGCUGACUCCAACAUAGCCCUAGGCUCAUGCUUCAGGAAGGAAAAUAACUCUCUAGUGUUAUCAGGAGACUGAUGAUGAAUAAUAUUGCCCACAUCUUGACAGAGACAGGAUGGAUGGAUCAGAAUGAGAUGAAGGAAAAACUUGAGCGUCUGUGGCAGAAACGAACCGGCAUGAGAAGAUCCAGUCUUUCGAUAUAGUUUUGUUUUCGCUAUCUGGUGCUGCCCUCUGCUGAUUGUAAUAGAGGACAAAGUGAAAAGAUUUCACUCUGCCAUUUGAAUUCUACGGAGACGUUAAGGUGAUCUUGUUUGUCUUUCCUUCUUGAUAACGUCAGGACGGUGAUGUCUUGACUCACAGAUGACCUGGAUUUAAGUGUGACAAAAUCGUCAGUCUCGUUCUCCCCUCCAGAACCAUCAGUCCAGCGUCCCUGGCCCCUGAUGCAAUGGGCGCCUUUGGGUUUUUUCCUAAGACAAAGUUCCGGUAAAUACAAGGAACAGGGAAAUUGUGGUUUGCUGCCUUUUACCUGCAUUCAUUCUGGAGCUCAAAUUGCACAGCCCCCACCAAGCCCACCAAACCAACCACUAUUUUCUUCUCUUUGUCGAAGUUCCGAAUCCUUCCCACCUUUGCGCCCAGGUUAGAUGCUCCACUUCUUUUCCCUCUCAGAUCCACCAUUUGUGCUACUGAGCUUCUGCAUAAACUCAAUGACCUCAGGAAACCUUAUUUUUCUUAGCAGAAUGGUUUUCUGCCAGCAGCAGUGUGAGCGGACCCCUCAGAAAUCUGGAAUUGUGACCAGCCCAUGUUAGAAUUUGUCAACGUUUCCUUAGAUGGCCAUAAGCAUGGAGUUUUCUUCCUUUCUAAAAGUAAAACUGCAGAUUCUACAAGCUCACCCAGUGGUGCAAAGUGA